This 939-nucleotide ribosomal RNA is filed under the name uncultured bacterium. RNAcentral's name for it is "bacterial SSU rRNA". It matches the Rfam family "Bacterial small subunit ribosomal RNA", at positions 591 to 1528 of the family's 1533-position model. The record is from RNAcentral.
GCUGUCAAAGUCCGAGGCUCGACUUCGGGAAGGCAGUGGAAACUGAACAGCUAGAGGUCGGAAGGGGCAGAGGGAAUUCCCAGUGUAGCGGUGAAAUGCGUAGAUAUUGGGAAGAACACCGGUGGCGAAAGCGCUCUGCUGGGCCGAACCUGACGCUGAGGGACGAAAGCUAGGGGAGCGAAUGGGAUUAGAUACCCCAGUAGUCCUAGCCGUAAACGAUGGAGACUAGGUGUUGCCUGUAUCGACCCGGGCAGUGCCGAAGCCAACGCGUUAAGUCUCCCGCCUGGGGAGUACGCACGCAAGUGUGAAACUCAAAGGAAUUGACGGGGGCCCGCACAAGCGGUGGAGUAUGUGGUUUAAUUCGAUGCAACGCGAAGAACCUUACCAGGGCUUGACAUCCCGCGAAUCCCGGCGAAAGUUGGGAGUGCCUACGGGAGCGCGGAGACAGGUGGUGCAUGGCUGUCGUCAGCUCGUGUCGUGAGAUGUUGGGUUAAGUCCCGCAACGAGCGCAACCCUCGUCCUUAGUUGCCAGCCUUAAGUGGGGCACUCUAGGGAGACUGCCGGUGAUAAACCGGAGGAAGGUGGGGAUGACGUCAAGUCAUCAUGCCCCAUAUGUCCUGGGCGACACACGUACUACAAUGGUCGGGACAGCGAGCAGCCAACUCGCGAGAGUGAGCUAAUCUCUCAAACCCGGCCUCAGUUCAGAUUGCAGGCUGCAACUCGCCUGCAUGAAGGAGGAAUCGCUAGUAAUCGCAGGUCAGCAUACUGCGGUGAAUCCGUUCCCGGGCCUUGUACACACCGCCCGUCACACCAUGGAAGUCGGCCAUGCCCGAAGUCAUUACUCUAACCGUUCGCGGAGGAGGGUGCCGAAGGCAGGGCUGAUGACUGGGGUGAAGUCGUAACAAGGUAGCCGUACCGGAAGGUGUGGCUGGAUCACCU